Molecule: ribosomal RNA, 442 nt
Filed under: uncultured bacterium
Lineage: Bacteria
Description: partial 16S ribosomal RNA
Rfam family: Bacterial small subunit ribosomal RNA
Source: RNAcentral
CCUACGGGUGGCUGCAGUGGGGAAUAUUGGGCAAUGGGCGCAAGCCUGACCCAGCAAUGCCGCGUGAAGGAAGAAGGCUUUCGGGUUGUAAACUUCUUUGACAGGGGAAGAGCAGAAGACGGUACCCUGAAAACAAGCCACGGCUAACUACGUGCCAGCAGCCGCGGUAAUACGUAGGUGGCAAGCGUUGUCCGGAUUUACUGGGUGUAAAGGGAGCGUAGACGGUUAUGUAAGUCUGGAGUGAAAGCCCGGGGCCCAACCCCGGGACUGCUUUGGAAACUGUGUAACUGGAGUACAGGAGGGGCAGGCGGAAUUCCUGGUGUAGCGGUGAAAUGCGUAGAUAUCAGGAGGAACACCGGCGGCGAAGGCGGCCUGCUGGACUGAAACUGACGUUGAGGCUCGAAAGCGUGGGGAGCAAACAGGAUUAGAUACCCGAGUAGUC